This 504-nucleotide long non-coding RNA is filed under the name Coturnix japonica (Japanese quail). RNAcentral describes it as "lncRNA (ENSCJPG00005001365.1)". The record is from RNAcentral. Lineage: Eukaryota; Metazoa; Chordata; Aves; Galliformes; Phasianidae.
CUCAUCCAAAACUGCCCUCUGAUACUGCCCAUGGAGAUACACCAAAUAUGGCACACAAAGUCUGCACAACCUUUUCAGGGCAUCAUCACUUGUUGUCUUCCAGAACACUGUGAGAUUGAAGAAGGUUCUGAAGAGGAGAUAAGAUAUAUAUUGGCAAGGAUACUAUCACUGCUUUCCAAAGGAAAUUUUUGGGAAAGCCAAUCACUGAAAAAGAGCUCACACAAUACAGAACAACACAACUACAUUGUUACUACAUUAAUCAUAGUUUCUGCCAAUACAGUAAGUACAACUGCAAACAAACCGUUUUAUUCUUGUGCACAACUUCAGCUGCGCAAAAAUCAUCUUACACUGAUCCCAUAAAUAGCCUGUGAAACACAAAAAUUCUUGCUUGUUUAAGGAAUCCCAACAUAUGUUUACGUGCCUGACAUGGGAAUUGAUUUGAAGUGUGAGAUUGUGUUGUUCUAGAAGUUCUGGAAAUAAAUCAAGAAUUGCUUCAGGCUAUCA